AAUUUUGGACAAUGGGGGAAACUCUGAUCCAGCCAUUCCGCGUGUAUGAUGAAGGCCUUCGGGUUGUAAAGUACUUUUGGCAGAGAAGAAAAGGUAUCCCCUAAUAUGGGAUACCGUAGAUGGUAUCAGCAGUUUAAGCACCGGCUAACGACGUUCUAACAGCCGCGGUAAUACGUAGGGUGCAAGCGUUAAUCGGAAUUACUGGGCGUAAAGCGUGUGUAGGCGGGUCGGAAAGGAAGAUGUGAAAUCCCAGGGCUCAACCUUAGAACUGCAUUUUUAACUGCCGAGCUAGAGUAUGUCAGAGGGGGGUAGAAUUCCACGUGUAGCAGUGAAAUGCGUAGAUAUGUGGAGGAAUACCGAUGGCGAAGGCAGCCCCCUGGGAUAAUACUGACGCUCAGACACGAAAGCGUGGGAAGCAAACAGG
This 424-nucleotide ribosomal RNA is filed under the name uncultured bacterium. RNAcentral's name for it is "partial 16S ribosomal RNA". It matches the Rfam family "Bacterial small subunit ribosomal RNA", at positions 360 to 776 of the family's 1533-position model. The record is from RNAcentral.